GCUUGCUCCACCGGAAAAAGAGGAGUGGCGAACGGGUGAGUAACACGUGGGUAACCUGCCCAUCAGAAGGGGAUAACACUUGGAAACAGGUGCUAAUACCGUAUAACAAUCAAAACCGCAUGGUUUUGAUUUGAAAGGCGCUUUCGGGUGUCGCUGAUGGAUGGACCCGCGGUGCAUUAGCUAGUUGGUGAGGUAACGGCUCACCAAGGCCACGAUGCAUAGCCGACCUGAGAGGGUGAUCGGCCACAUUGGGACUGAGACACGGCCCAAACUCCUACGGGAGGCAGCAGUAGGGAAUCUUCGGCAAUGGACGAAAGUCUGACCGAGCAACGCCGCGUGAGUGAAGAAGGUUUUCGGAUCGUAAAACUCUGUUGUUAGAGAAGAACAAGGAUGAGAGUAACUGUUCAUCCCUUGACGGUAUCUAACCAGAAAGCCACGGCUAACUACGUGCCAGCAGCCGCGGUAAUACGUAGGUGGCAAGCGUUGUCCGGAUUUAUUGGGCGUAAAGCGAGCGCAGGCGGUUUCUUAAGUCUGAUGUGAAAGCCCCCGGCUCAACCGGGGAGGGUCAUUGGAAACUGGGAGACUUGAGUGCAGAAGAGGAGAGUGGAAUUCCAUGUGUAGCGGUGAAAUGCGUAGAUAUAUGGAGGAACACCAGUGGCGAAGGCGGC
This 668-nucleotide ribosomal RNA is filed under the name uncultured Bacilli bacterium. RNAcentral's name for it is "bacterial SSU rRNA". It matches the Rfam family "Bacterial small subunit ribosomal RNA", at positions 71 to 725 of the family's 1533-position model. The record is from RNAcentral. Lineage: Bacteria; Bacillati; Bacillota; Bacilli.